UUGGAAUAAUGCUUUUUUUCUCUUUAAACCUUUUGCCCUAUAGAUGAUUCAUUUCUCCUGGGCUAAAAUUGGACUCAUCCUGAGCAUCUUUGGCAUGGAAGACAUUCCAGCAUUUGGAGGGUCUCCGCACAGAUCGGUUGCAUCGGACGCUCUGGGGUUCCAGCCAGUUGAUGGUUUGCUUUGCCUUGAAACUCAUUAACUUCUGUCACUUGGCCUGAAGCUGAUGACCUCUGCCCAGCAACUUGACCGUGUUACCCAUGUUUGCUAUAUGAGAACCAGAGGUGCCCACCAGCUCCACUACUUCCAUCCCUGCUUCUAGAAUGGACCAGAGGAGGCUGCAGUCGAAUGGAAAUAAAGGCUGUGUCUUCCAGGCUGCAUCUCACGAAUUCUCCCAACGUCCCGGGAAAGCAGAAUGUGAAUGGGAAAUUGAUUUGUCAUAUGUGUCUGGCAAAGUCCAGUAUUUCCUAGCAGGAAAAUGUAAAUUCCCCUGAAAAACAACAACAGACCAACCAUACCGCAAAGGUA
This 525-nucleotide long non-coding RNA is filed under the name Ursus maritimus (polar bear). Its description in RNAcentral is "lncRNA (ENSUMAG00000019817.1)". The record is from RNAcentral. Lineage: Eukaryota; Metazoa; Chordata; Mammalia; Carnivora; Ursidae.